RNAcentral lists this ribosomal RNA (252 nucleotides) under uncultured bacterium. RNAcentral's name for it is "partial 16S ribosomal RNA". It matches the Rfam family "Bacterial small subunit ribosomal RNA", at positions 524 to 776 of the family's 1533-position model. The record is from RNAcentral.
UACGUAGGGGGCUAGCGUUAUCCGGAAUUACUGGGCGUAAAGGGUGCGUAGGUGGUUUCUUAAGUCAGAGGUGAAAGGCUACGGCUCAACCGUAGUAAGCCUUUGAAACUGGGGAACUUGAGUGCAGAAGAGGAGAGUGGAAUUCCUAGUGUAGCGGUGAAAUGCGUAGAUAUUAGGAGGAACACCAGUUGCGAAGGCGGCUCUCUGGACUGUAACUGACACUGAGGCACGAAAGCAUGGGGAGCGAACAGG